CCCUUUAUGACCUGGGCUACAAACGUACUACAAUGGCCAAUACAAAGAGAUGCGAAGUUGUGAGAUGGAGCGAACCUCAAAAAAAUGGUCUCAGUUCAGAUUGAAGUCUGCAACUCGACUUCAUGAAGGCGGAAUCGCUAGUAAUCGCGGGUCAGCAGACCGCGGUGAAUACGUUCCCGGGUUUU
RNAcentral lists this ribosomal RNA (185 nucleotides) under uncultured Mollicutes bacterium. RNAcentral describes it as "partial 16S ribosomal RNA". It matches the Rfam family "Bacterial small subunit ribosomal RNA", at positions 1198 to 1382 of the family's 1533-position model. Lineage: Bacteria; Bacillati; Mycoplasmatota; Mollicutes. The record is from RNAcentral.